UUAGUUGAUCAAAUGGUUCA
Molecule: non-coding RNA, 20 nt
Filed under: Arabidopsis thaliana (thale cress)
Lineage: Eukaryota; Viridiplantae; Streptophyta; Magnoliopsida; Brassicales; Brassicaceae
Source: RNAcentral